AGAGUUUGAUCAUGGCUCAGAGUGAACGCUGGCGGCGUGCCUAACACAUGCAAGUCGAACGAGAACGGAUAUAAGUUUACUUAUAUUGUCAGCUAAGUGGCGCACGGGUGAGUAAUAUAUAGUUAAUCUGCCCUGAAGAAGAGAAUAAUUGUUGGAAACGACUUGUAAUGCUCUAUAUGCCUUUAUCACAUAAGUGAGCAAGGGAAAUAUUUAUAGCUUCGGGAUGAGACUGUACGGUAUCAGCUAGUUGGUGAGGUAAUGGCUCACCAAGGCAAUGACAUCUAACUGGUUUGAGAGGAUGAUCAGUCACACUGGAACUGAGACACGGUCCAGACUCCUACGGGAGGCAGCAGUGGGGAAUAUUGCACAAUGGAGGAAACUCUGAUGCAGCAACGCCGCGUGGAGGAUGACACAUUUCGGUGCGUAAACUCCUUUUAUUAGGGAAGAUAAUGACGGUACCUAAUGAAUAAGCACCGGCUAACUCCGUGCCAGCAGCCGCGGUAAUACGGGGGGUGCAAGCGUUACUCGGAAUCACUGGGCGUAAAGAGCAUGUAGGCUGAUUAGUAAGUUGGAAGUGAAAUCCUAUGGCUCAA
This 593-nucleotide ribosomal RNA is filed under the name uncultured bacterium. RNAcentral's name for it is "bacterial SSU rRNA". It matches the Rfam family "Bacterial small subunit ribosomal RNA", at positions 8 to 612 of the family's 1533-position model. The record is from RNAcentral.